AGGGCGUACAGUGGAUGCCUUGGCACCGAAAGCCGAUGAAGGACGUGAUUACCUGCGAUAAGCUGCGGGGAGCUGGAUAUAAGCUUCGAUCCGCGGAUUUCCGAAUGGGGAAACCCAGUUAGUUUUAUCACUAACUACACAUAGAUGAAUAAAUAGUCUAUGAUGAGACAACCUAGGGAACUGAAACAUCUAAGUACCUAGAGGAAAAGAAAGAGAAAUCGUAUUCCGUAAGUAGUGGCGAGCGAAAGCGGAACAGUCCAAACCAUUUAAUGGGGUUCGGAUUAGACAUCAAUGGGUUGCGAACAAGAAGAAGUGUUUGAAUGACAUACCAUAGAAGGUGAAAGUCCUGUAUUCGUAAAAAUCGCAAUCAAGUCUAGUCCAGAGUACGGCGAGACACGUGGAAUCUUGUCGGAAUGUGCGGGGACCAUCCCGUAAGACUAAAUACUCUUCGGUGACCGAUAGUGAACCAGUACUGUGAAGGAAAGGUGAAAAGAACCGCGGGAGCGGAGUGAAAAGAAUCUGAAACUGUAUGCUUACAAAAAGUCAGAGGGCGUUAAGGCCUGAUGACGUGCCUAUUGAAGAAUGAGCCGGCGAGUUAUGUGCACUUGCAAGGUUAAGGAGGAGAUCCGGAGCCGUAGCGAAAGCGAGUCUGAACAGGGCGAAUAAGUAUGUGCAUGUAAACCCGAAACCCGACGAUCUAGACAUGAGCAGGAUGAAGUUGGAGUAAAAUCCAAUGGAGGUCCGAACCGACGUUCGUUGAAACGCCCGCGGAUGACUUGUGUCUCGUGGAGAAAUUCCAAUCGAGUCGGGUUAUAGCUGGUUCUCCUCGAAAUAGCUUUAGGGCUAGCCUUGGAUAAAUUGACAUGUGCAGGUAGAGCACUGAAUGUGAAAGGGCCGCGCUAAGCGGUACCGAUUGCAAUCAAACUCCGAAUGGUACAUGUUUUACUCCAGGAGUCAGACUGUGGGAGAUAAGUUUCAUGGUCAAAAGGGAAAAAGCCCAGAUCACCAAUUAAGGUCCCUAAAUUCACGCUAAGUGUCAAAGGAUGUGGAAAUACUUAAACAGCUAGGAUGUUGGCUCAGAGGCUGCCAUCAUUUAAAGAAUGCGUAACAGCUCACUAGUCAAGUGUUUCUGCGCCAAAAAUUUACCGGGGCUAAGCGUGGUACCGAAAUUGUGAAUAUAUUUUAAAUAUAUGGUAGGGGAGCGUUCUAUGUGCGUCGAAGUCAUACCGGAAGGAGUGGUGGAGCGCAUAGAAGUGAGAAUGCCGGCGUAAGUAACGAAAAGGGGUGAGAAUCCCCUUCACCGUUUGACUAAGGUUUCCUGGGCAAGGUUCGUCCACCCAGGGUUAGUCGGGGACUAAGGUCAGGCCGAAUGGCGUAGCCGAUGUACAGCAGGUUGAUAUUCCUGCACCCGCUAGUGUAGUGAUGAGCGUGACGGAUAAGGCUAAACGUACCCACGGUUGGAUGUGUGGGGAGAAGUACAUAGCCCUGCUUGAGGUAAAGUCCUUGAGCGACAAGGGUAAAGUAUCAAGUACGAAUGGGGUGACCCUAGUAGGAAAUCGUUGAUGCCAGGUCCCAAGAAAAGCGCCUAGCGUUUAAUCACUAGCGGCCCGUACCGAGAACGGACACACGUGGUCAAGGAGAGUAUCCUAAGGUGAGCGAGAUAACUGUUGUUAAGGAACUCUGCAAAAUUACUUCGUAAGUUAGCGAGAAGAAGUGCCACAGCGAUGUGGUCGCAGUGAAGAGGCCCAAGUAACUGUUUACCAAAAACACAGCUCUAUGCUAAGUCGUAAGAUGAUGUAUAUGGGGUGAAGCCUGCCCGGUGCUGGAAGGUUAAAAGGAGAGGUUAGCGCAAGCGAAGCUUUGAAUUGAAGCCCCAGUGAACGGCGGCCGUAACUAUGACGGUCCUAAGGUAGCGAAAUUCCUUGUCAGGUAAGUUCUGACGUGCACGAAUGGUUUAAUAAUUUGGGCGCUGUCUCGACAGCAGACUCGGUGAAAUCUUAAUACCUGUGAAGAUGCAGGUUACCCGCGACUAGACGGAAAGACCCCAUAGAGCUUUACUACAACUUAAUAUUGAGUAAUUGUAAAUCAUGUACAGGAUAGGUGGGAGACUUUGAUGUUGGGGCGUCAGCUUCAGCGGAGUCGGCGUUGGGAUACCACUCUUGAUUUACAAUUAUUCUAACUUGCGGCCUGGACGGUUGCGAGGACAGUGUUAGGCGGGUAGUUUGACUGGGGCGGUCGCCUCCCAAAGAG
RNAcentral lists this ribosomal RNA (2250 nucleotides) under human gut metagenome. RNAcentral's name for it is "bacterial LSU rRNA". It matches the Rfam family "Bacterial large subunit ribosomal RNA", at positions 14 to 2297 of the family's 2925-position model. The record is from RNAcentral.